This 253-nucleotide ribosomal RNA is filed under the name uncultured bacterium. Its description in RNAcentral is "partial 16S ribosomal RNA". It matches the Rfam family "Bacterial small subunit ribosomal RNA", at positions 524 to 776 of the family's 1533-position model. The record is from RNAcentral.
UACGUAGGGUGCGAGCGUUGUCCGGAAUUACUGGGCGUAAAGAGCUCGUAGGUGGUUUGUCGCGUUGUUCGUGAAAACUCACAACUCAAUUGUGGGCGUGCGGGCGAUACGGGCAGACUGGAGUACUGCAGGGGAGACUGGAAUUCCUGGUGUAGCGGUGGAAUGCGCAGAUAUCAGGAGGAACACCGGCGGCGAAGGCGGCCCUCUGGCUCGUUGCUGACGCUGAAACGCGAAAGCGUGGGGAGCAAACAGG